RNAcentral lists this ribosomal RNA (492 nucleotides) under uncultured bacterium. RNAcentral describes it as "partial 16S ribosomal RNA". It matches the Rfam family "Bacterial small subunit ribosomal RNA", at positions 29 to 507 of the family's 1533-position model. The record is from RNAcentral.
AUUGAACGCUGGCGGCAUGCUUUACACAUGCAAGUCGAACGGUAACAGGCCUUCGGGUGCUGACGAGUGGCGAACGGGUGAGUAAUGCAUCGGAACGUACCCAGAGCUGGGGGAUAACGCAGCGAAAGCUGUGCUAAUACCGCAUGUGAUCUGAGGAUGAAAUCGGGGGACCGAGCAGCAAUGUUUGGCCUCGCGCCUUUGGAGCGGCCGAUGUCGGAGUAGCUGGUUGGUGGGGUAAAGGCCUACCAAGGCGACGAUCCGUAGCUGGUGUGAGAGAACGGCAGGCCACACGAGAACUGAGACACGGCCCAGACGCCUGCGGGAGGCAGCAGUGGGGAAUUUUGGACAAUGGGCGCAAGCCUGAUCCAGCAAGGCCGCGUGCGGGAAGAAGGCCUUCGGGUUGUAAACCGCUUUUGGCAGGAACGAAACGGUGUCCGCUAAUACCGGGCGCUAAUGACGGUACCUGGAGAAUAAGCACCGGCUAACUACGUG